This 484-nucleotide ribosomal RNA is filed under the name uncultured bacterium. RNAcentral describes it as "partial 16S ribosomal RNA". It matches the Rfam family "Bacterial small subunit ribosomal RNA", at positions 28 to 507 of the family's 1533-position model. The record is from RNAcentral.
AUUGAACGCUGGCGGCAUGCUUUACACAUGCAAGUCGAGCGGCAGCGCGGGCUUCGGCCUGGCGGCGAGUGGCGAACGGGUGAGUAAUGCAUCGGAACGUGCCCAGUAGUGGGGGAUAGCCCGGCGAAAGCCGGAUUAAUACCGCAUACGACCUGAGGGUGAAAGCGGGGGACCGAAAGGCCUCGCGCUAUUGGAGCGGCCGAUGUCGGAUUAGCUAGUUGGUGGGGUAAAGGCUUACCAAGGCGACGAUCCGUAGCUGGUCUGAGAGGACGACCAGCCACACUGGGACUGAGACACGGCCCAGACUCCUACGGGAGGCAGCAGUGGGGAAUUUUGGACAAUGGGGGCAACCCUGAUCCAGCCAUGCCGCGUGCGGGAAGAAGGCCUUCGGGUUGUAAACCGCUUUUGUUCGGGAAGAAAUCCUCUGGGCUAAUACCCCGGGGGGAAGACGGUACCGGAAGAAUAAGCACCGGCUAACUACGUG